UACGUAGGUGGCAAGCGUUGUCCGGAAUUAUUGGGCGUAAAGCGCGCGCAGGCGGCCUCUUAAGUCUGAUGUGAAAAGCCCCCCGGCUCAACCCGGGGAGGGCCAUUGGAAACUGGGAGGCUUGAGUAUAGGAGAGAAGAGUGGAAUUCCACGUGUAGCGGUGAAAUGCGUAGAGAUGUGGAGGAACACCAGUGGCGAAGGCGACUCUUUGGCCUAUAACUGACGCUGAGGCGCGAAAGCGUGGGGAGCAAACAGG
This 256-nucleotide ribosomal RNA is filed under the name uncultured bacterium. Its description in RNAcentral is "partial 16S ribosomal RNA". It matches the Rfam family "Bacterial small subunit ribosomal RNA", at positions 524 to 776 of the family's 1533-position model. The record is from RNAcentral.